AAAAUUUAUUUUUUUUAUUUUUUAGUAUUGCAUACUAUUAUAAGAAAAUUUUAUUUAUUAUAAAAAAUAGAAACAAGAGGUAAAAAGAUCUUCAGGAUUUUUUGUUACAAAAAUAAUUUUAUUGGGUCUUGGUUUUGAUAAAACGUCUCUUGUGAUAUCUUUUUUAUUUUUUUAUUAUUAGAAAAUUAUAAUUUUUUUUUUNGUUUAAGGGAAAAAUAAAAUUUGAAGUGUUUUAUUUUUAUGUUUUAUAACUUUUUCUCUUUUCUUUUCUUUUUUUUUAUAGUUCUGUCUAUUUUGGACAGAUUCACAAUUUGUGAAUUAGUAGGUUUGUUAAAUUCGGUUUUUUAUUCAAAUUUUAAUUUGAGAACUUGGCUUCUUGAUCAAAUGUUUUUUAAAGACUUAGGUUUUUAUAUAAAACUUGCUUCUGCCCUAUGAUUUUAAAUGGCAGUCUUAGCGUGAGGACAUUAAGGUAGCAAAAUAAUUUGUGCUUUUAUUGGGUUCCAGUAUGAAUGAAGUUAUUGGUUAGUUAUAUUCUCUUAUUUUAACUGAACUUAAUUUUUAUUUAAUAAAAAAUAAUUGUAAUUGAACAAAGAUAAGUCUUCGGAAAUUUUUUUUGUGCUAUUUCUUUUGUUUUGGCAUAAAGUUUUCUAGGGCAGAAAUUUAUAUAAUUAUUUUUACUAAAAAUAAUUUAACAAAUUACUCCGGAGUUAACAGAAAAUCAUAUUUUAUCCAGUUCUUAUGGUAAUAAUAAGUUUUACAUCGAUGUUGUAUUCCUAUAAGCUAAAAGAGGAGAAGAUUUAGUUUUUGAGACUGUUCUUCUUUUAAUUAAUAGGACUUGAUAUUAGUUUAAUUCAUUGCGAGAUAGAAUGUUUAUCUUGUUAAUUACUCUGAUUAAGUAUAUUUAUUAAAAGGAAAGCAUGA
This 921-nucleotide ribosomal RNA is filed under the name Steinernema riobrave. RNAcentral's name for it is "partial 16S ribosomal RNA". Lineage: Eukaryota; Metazoa; Nematoda; Chromadorea; Rhabditida; Steinernematidae. The record is from RNAcentral.